UGGAUCCAGACUUUGAUCCUGGCUCAGGACGAACGCUGGCGGCGUGCCUAACACAUGCAAGUCGAGCGGAGACAGUGAGUAGCUUGCUACGAGCUGUUUUAGCGGCGGACGGGUGAGUAACGCGUGAGCAACCUUUCCCAGACAGGGGAAUAACACACCGAAAGGUGUACUAAUACCGCAUAAGACCACGGGAUCACAUGGUUCUGAGGUAAAAGAUUUAUCGGUUUGGGGUGGGCUCGCGUCCGAUUAGGUAGUUGGUGAGGUAACGGCCCACCAAGCCGACGAUCGGUAGCCGACCUGAGAGGGUGAUCGGCCACAUUGGGACUGAGACACGGCCCAAACUCCUACGGGAGGCAGCAGUGGGGAAUAUUGGGCAAUGGGGGGAACCCUGACCCAGCAACGCCGCGUGGAGGAAGAAGGUUUUCGGAUCGUAAACUCCUGUCCUUGGAGACGAGUAGAAGACGGUAUCCAAGGAGGAAGCCCCGGCUAACUACGUGCCAGCAGCCGCGGUAAUACGUAGGGGGCAAGCGUUGUCCGGAAUAAUUGGGCGUAAAGGGCGCGUAGGCGGCUCGGUAAGUCUGGAGUGAAAGUCCUGCUUUUAAGGUGGGAAUUGCUUUGGAUACUGUCGGGCUUGAGUGCAGGAGAGGUUAGUGGAAUUCCCAGUGUAGCGGCGAAAUGCGUAGAGAUUGGGAGGAACACCAGUGGCGAAGGCGACUAACUGGACUGUAACUGACGCUGAGGCGCGAAAGUGUGGGGAGCAAACAGGAUUAGAUACCCUGGUAGUCCACACUGUAAACGAUGAAUGCUAGGUGUAGGGGGUAUCGACCCCUUCUGUGCCGCAGUUAACACAAUAAGCAUUCCGCCUGGGGAGUACGGCCGCAAGGUUGCAACUCAAAGGAAUUGACGGA
This 908-nucleotide ribosomal RNA is filed under the name uncultured Bacillota bacterium. RNAcentral describes it as "bacterial SSU rRNA". It matches the Rfam family "Bacterial small subunit ribosomal RNA", at positions 1 to 917 of the family's 1533-position model. Lineage: Bacteria; Bacillati; Bacillota. The record is from RNAcentral.